GUAGGUGAACCUGCGGAAGGAUCAUUUACAAAAUGAAGUGUUAUAACACUUUAAUCCAUGUGAAUAGCCAAAUAUGAUACAUCAUAUAUGGCGAGUUGGUAACGAGGGAAUAUUUAUACUAUGAUUGUCUAACUUAUUUAAAUAAAUAAUUAAACAACUUUUAACAAUGGAUCUCUAGGCUCUUGCAUCGAUGAAGAACGCAGCAUCUGACUGACUCGGGCAUA
Molecule: unclassified non-coding RNA, 224 nt
Filed under: plant metagenome
Description: partial contains small subunit ribosomal RNA, internal transcribed spacer 1, and 5.8S ribosomal RNA
Rfam family: 5.8S ribosomal RNA (bases 156-224)
Source: RNAcentral